Equus caballus (horse) is the source of this 637-nucleotide non-coding RNA. Lineage: Eukaryota; Metazoa; Chordata; Mammalia; Perissodactyla; Equidae. The record is from RefSeq and is a predicted model, not a curated record.
GUCCUCAGCUCCUCCCUUUCUCACCACCCACCCCCAAACCUGCUAACCUUUCCUGAAUGGCCUCAGUGACCUGCCUCUCCCUCCAGGGCUCUGCAGGUCCCAGCAGCAGAGACAGGAAUCGCCGGACCCCGGGGCCUCCGGGAGCCACGUGUGCCAGCGCAGCGCCUGCCAGCUCCCAGGCUGACCUCACAAUGGCUCCUUUCACCAGGAGAGGAGCUGGCCCGGCCCGGAGCCUGCGGGGGGAUGUCCCAGGCCCCAGGGCGUGGGGUGGGAGGUUGGAAACUGGGGAAUGGGCUGCUGAGGCUGGGAGAGCUGAAGGAUCUCAGCGCCACAUCCACCACCCGAUGUCAAGGGACUGCUUCAGGCGUAGUCUUAUGACCCAAACCAGUCCAGGGAGUUCCAUUUCCAGAUCCUGUGUUUAAACAUUUGGAGAAAUGAAUGUUUCCUCCUACUGGGCUUGGAACUGGGAGAGUGUCAGCCUGGAGCUGCCCGAAUUUGGAAAGGGCCUGCUCCAGAGUGAAGCCAACACAGGGAAAAGCAGAGAGAUGGAGGACCAAAUCCUGAUGGCAUCAUUUGAAAUCCUAGAUCCAGCUGUACCUGAAGCAGAUAAACUAAAUUUUGCAGUUUCUUGAGUCAA